GUCACACUGAGGAUCCUUUCCCUCCCCUCCUUGCUAUCUUAUGAAGGUACAACAAUCUGAUACUUCAUCCCACUUUCCUAUAAAGCCUGAUGUGUAUGUGAAGUAGAGGGUUUGUUCGUUCAAACCUUUGCGAGGCUUUGGAUUCAGAAUCCUUUGGAGAUUUGAUCUCUAUUCUGCUGUGAAUCAAGUAAAAGAUAAAAUCUUUGUUAAUAUAUUAUAAAAAAAUUUUAGA
Molecule: long non-coding RNA, 232 nt
Filed under: Elaeis guineensis (African oil palm)
Lineage: Eukaryota; Viridiplantae; Streptophyta; Magnoliopsida; Arecales; Arecaceae
Description: long non-coding RNA (EGUI_LNC066209)
Source: RNAcentral